GGGGGCAUAGCACAGUUGGUAGAGUGCAUGCUUAGCAUGCAUGAGGUCCUGGGUUCAAUCCCCAGGACCUCCA
This 73-nucleotide transfer RNA is filed under the name Camelus bactrianus (Bactrian camel). It matches the Rfam family "tRNA". Rfam says of the family: Transfer RNA (tRNA) molecules are approximately 80 nucleotides in length. Their secondary structure includes four short double-helical elements and three loops (D, anti-codon, and T loops). Lineage: Eukaryota; Metazoa; Chordata; Mammalia; Artiodactyla; Camelidae. The record is from Rfam by way of RNAcentral. RNAcentral also lists the same sequence under 1 other name.